GCUGCCAGUUGCCAACGGGUACGAGCCGGGCACUCUGGCGGGACGUGCCAUCGACAAGAUGGAGGAAGUGGGGAGUGACGUCAAGUCAUCAUGGCCCGUUACUGUCCAGGGCGACACACGUGCUACAAUGGCCGGCACAGCGGGAAGCGAGGCAGUGAUGCCAAGCGGAUCCCUUAAAGCCGGUCUCAGUUCGGAUUGAAGUCUGCAACUCGACUUCAUGAAGCUGGAAUCGCUAGUAAUCGCAGAUCAGCCAAGCUGCGGUGAAUACGUUCCCGGGCCUU
RNAcentral lists this ribosomal RNA (281 nucleotides) under uncultured Synergistaceae bacterium. RNAcentral describes it as "partial 16S ribosomal RNA". It matches the Rfam family "Bacterial small subunit ribosomal RNA", at positions 1107 to 1382 of the family's 1533-position model. Lineage: Bacteria; Thermotogati; Synergistota; Synergistia; Synergistales; Synergistaceae. The record is from RNAcentral.